CACAGUAUGGCUACCUGCCACAGGAAAGCUUCAAGCGAGAUGCUUCAUUAACCUCCUGUGACACACAAUUUACUGCCAAGGUUUUCAGAGAUUACUAAAUACAGGCAGCCUGGAUUUCUUUUUUUCUUGUGUGGAAUGGAUCAGAUGGAAACCAAGUUGAGAAGGAACAAUGGAAUAACUAAAUGGGUUCUUGAGCGUCCUACAAAAUACCGGGGCAUAGCCAAACAGGUGUGUUAUUCAAAAGGAAAGGAGCAGCACAAGGCUGCAGUCAAUGUCAUUGCUAAGUUUUUAAUCCAGAAAAAGGGAGCCUUCCUUUCAACCAGCAAAAAGGAGGAGGCAGAUGUGGUCACUAUUUCAAUCAGA
Haemorhous mexicanus (house finch) is the source of this 363-nucleotide long non-coding RNA. RefSeq lists it as uncharacterized. NCBI's taxonomy places the organism in Eukaryota, Metazoa, Chordata, Aves, Passeriformes, Fringillidae. The record is from RefSeq and is a predicted model, not a curated record. The transcript is spliced from 3 exons.